Apodemus sylvaticus (European woodmouse) is the source of this 260-nucleotide small nucleolar RNA. Lineage: Eukaryota; Metazoa; Chordata; Mammalia; Rodentia; Muridae. The record is from RefSeq and is a predicted model, not a curated record.
CGGGUUGAUGAGACUAAGGCGAAUGCGACUUGGCUGCUGACUCUUUGUUUGGGAGAUGGGAGGGAAAAGAUAGCGGGUGAGAUCUGAAAUCUUGGUGGGGGUGCCUAAGGCCUCACUCCCUGCUGUAAGGCCAGAUCGAGAGCACUUCUGGCCUUGCCUUCGUGUCAGCUGCCACCACAGUACUGGCAGCAUCCUGUAGGGAGGCCCACAGUGGGUAGCAAAGUGUGAGUAGCCACGUGAGCGCAACCUUGAAUCUGACA